GACGAACGCUGGCGGCGUGCUUAACACAUGCAAGUCGAACGGAAAGGCCCUGCUUUUGUGGGGUGCUCGAGUGGCGAACGGGUGAGUAACACGUGAGUAACCUGCCCUUGACUUUGGGAUAACUUCAGGAAACUGGGGCUAAUACCGGAUAGGAGCUCCUGCUGCAUGGUGGGGGUUGGAAAGUUUCGGCGGUUGGGGAUGGACUCGCGGCUUAUCAGCUUGUUGGUGGGGUAGUGGCUUACCAAGGCUUUGACGGGUAGCCGGCCUGAGAGGGUGACCGGCCACAGUGGGAAUGAGAUACGGACCAGACUCCUACGGGAGGCAGCAGUGGGGAAUAUUGCACAAUGGGCGGAAGCGUGAUGAAGCAACGCCGCGUGCGGGAUGACGGCCUUCGGGUUGUAAACCGCUUUAGCCUGUGACGAAGCGUGAGUGACGGUAAUGGGUAAAGAAGCACCGGCUAACUACGU
RNAcentral lists this ribosomal RNA (467 nucleotides) under uncultured bacterium. Its description in RNAcentral is "partial 16S ribosomal RNA". It matches the Rfam family "Bacterial small subunit ribosomal RNA", at positions 28 to 506 of the family's 1533-position model. The record is from RNAcentral.